ACUACGGGAGGCAGCAGUGGGGGAUAUUGCACAAUGGGGGGAACCCUGAUGCAGCGACGCCGCGUGGGUGAAGAAGCGCCUCGGCGCGUAAAGCCCUGUCAGCAGGGAAGAAAAUGACGGUAACUGAAGAAGAAGCCCCGGCUAACUACGUGCCAGCAGCCGCGGUAAUACGUAGGGGGCAAGCGGUAGCCGGAUGUACUGGGUGGAAAGGGGGCGGAGACGGCGAUGAAAGCCAGGAGUGAAAGCCCGGGGCCCAACCCCGGGAGUGCUCUUGGAACUGCGUGGCUGGAGUGCAGGAGGGGCAGGCGGAAUUCCUGGUGUAGCGGUGAAAUGCGUAGAUAUUAGGAGGAACACCAGUGGCGAAGGCGGCCUGCUGGACUGCAACUGACGUUGAGGCCCGAAAGCGUGGGGAGCAAACAGGAUUAGAUACCCGGGUAGUC
Molecule: ribosomal RNA, 440 nt
Filed under: uncultured bacterium
Lineage: Bacteria
Description: partial 16S ribosomal RNA
Rfam family: Bacterial small subunit ribosomal RNA
Source: RNAcentral